UACGUAGGGUGCGAGCGUUGUCCGGAAUUAUUGGGCGUAAAGAGCUUGUAGGCGGUUUGUCGCGUCUGCUGUGAAAAUCCGGGGCUCAACCCCGGACUUGCAGUGGGUACGGGCAGACUAGAGUGUGGUAGGGGAGACUGGAAUUCCUGGUGUAGCGGUGAAAUGCGCAGAUAUCAGGAGGAACACCGAUGGCGAAGGCAGGUCUCUGGGCCACUACUGACGCUGAGAAGCGAAAGCAUGGGGAGCGAACAGGAUUAGAUACCCCGGUA
This 269-nucleotide ribosomal RNA is filed under the name uncultured prokaryote. Its description in RNAcentral is "partial 16S ribosomal RNA". It matches the Rfam family "Bacterial small subunit ribosomal RNA", at positions 524 to 792 of the family's 1533-position model. The record is from RNAcentral.